GGUCCAAACUUGAAGUAGAGUACAAGUAUGGUCAGAUGAUCGUACUAUUAGACUCUACUUCAAAUUUGGGUCC
This 73-nucleotide microRNA precursor is filed under the name Haemonchus placei. RNAcentral's name for it is "mir-5928 microRNA precursor family". It matches the Rfam family "mir-5928 microRNA precursor family". Lineage: Eukaryota; Metazoa; Nematoda; Chromadorea; Rhabditida; Trichostrongylidae. The record is from Rfam by way of RNAcentral.